AUGAAUCAAAAUGCUUGCAAGCACCUUGCUGGGGUUGUUGAAGAAUAUAAGAAGUUCAAUGCUGAUUUUCAGCAUUGUAUAUAUAAUAUUAAGGAAGAAGAUGAUUUUAUAAAUGAAUGGAAUAGAAUAGUAGACAUAUAUGGUCUAGGUGACAAUACAUGGCUGCAAAGGCUGUUUGAGAAAAGGGAGCAAUGGGCACUAGUGUAUGGCAGAAAUACAUUCUCAGCCCACAUGAGCACUACCCAAAGAAGUGAAAGCAUGAAUAAUGAACUAAAGCGGUACAUUAGUAUUAAAUAUGACAUGCUUACUUUCUUCGAGCAUUUUGGCCGGCUAGUUGCAGAUAAAAGAUUUGUAGAGGUGAAGUGUGACUUCAAGGCAUCACAAACUACUCCCAAGCUAAAGGCAAUAGAUAGCUAUGUACUAAGGCAAGCUGCAACUACAUAUACUCCAGAAAUAUUCAAGAUGUUUGAGGAGCAAGUGCUUCGGACCCUCAACUAUGACACAUUUCUUUGUGAUGAUAGUGACAAAGAGCAGAAGGUUUAUACAGUAAAAUUUCAUGGCACACAACGUGAGCAUGUUGUCCAAUUUGACCCAAAUGAAGAGAAAGUCAAUUGUAGUUGCAAGAAAUUUGAAUUUGCUGGAAUCCUCUGCUCUCAUUGCUUAAAGAUACUUGAUAUUAAUAAUAUCAAGCAUAUCCCUAAACAGUAUGUAUUGAAUAGAUGGACAAUUGAUGCCAAAGUGCUAGAGAUAACAAGCAAUUGCAAUCUGCAUGAGGAUCUAAAAGCAAGAAUGUCUAACUUCUACAAAGACUUGUGCAGAAUGUUUAUCCACAUAGCUGCUCGUGCUGCAGAGUCUGAUGAAACAUAG
Molecule: ribosomal RNA, 867 nt
Filed under: Triticum aestivum (bread wheat)
Lineage: Eukaryota; Viridiplantae; Streptophyta; Magnoliopsida; Poales; Poaceae
Description: partial small subunit ribosomal RNA
Source: RNAcentral